This 1050-nucleotide ribosomal RNA is filed under the name Eucephalobus oxyuroides. Its description in RNAcentral is "eukaryotic LSU rRNA". It matches the Rfam family "Eukaryotic large subunit ribosomal RNA", at positions 69 to 944 of the family's 3401-position model. Lineage: Eukaryota; Metazoa; Nematoda; Chromadorea; Rhabditida; Cephalobidae. The record is from RNAcentral.
CGAGGAUUCCCUCAGUAACGGCGAGUGAACGGGGAAAAGCCCAGCGCUAAAUCCCAUUGCUCUAACGGGUGAAGGGAAGUGUAGCGUAUAGUAGGCGAGUUCUCCUUGAUGGCUGUCGACUUAAGUUCUCCUUGACUGGGGUUCCAUAGAAGGUGAAAGGCCUGUUCAGUCGGCGGCCGUCUUGGAUUCCGUUUUACUUGGAGUCGGGUUGUUUGGGAACGCAGCCCAAAUUUGGUGGUAAACUUCAUCUAAGGCUAAAUACGGCCACGAGUCCGAUAGCAAACAAGUACCGUGAGGGAAAGUUGAAAAGUACUUUGAAGAGAGAGUUCAAGAGGACGUGAAACCGGUAGGAUGGAAACGGAUAGAGCCAACGAACUAGCUCGUAUUCAGCUAGUCGGUUGCGUGCAGUUUUUCUAGGCGCUUGAUAAGGUGCUUAGGGGAAUGUGGUAUGCGAUCGGCUAGUGCAUUUGCGAGUAAUGUGCGCCGAGGCGGGUGGCAUUCGUUCGGCAAACUGUUGGGAGAGGCUUCGUUCGCAAGAACUUAGAACCUACUGGCAGGGAGUCGAGUCGGAGCUGCACGUAGCUUUAUGGAGUUAGGUACAGACGCGCUGCUGCUGUGCUGGGCUAGUCGUAUGGUCGGUCGCAUGCRACUUGGCUGUAAUGGCUGGUCUUAGUGUGGUAGUAGUGCCCUGACUUCUCCUCGGUGUAAAAGUUGGUCAUCUCUCCGACCCGUCUUGAAACACGGACCAAGGAGUCUAGCGUAUACGCGAGUCAUUGAGUGUUAAAACUCAUAGGCGAAAUGAAAGUGAAGGUCUUCGUUUGGAGGCUGAUAUGCGAUCCGUUGUGUUUCGGCGCAGCGGAGCAGCAUAGCCCAAUCUCGACUGCUUGCAGUGGGGUUGCGGAAGAGCGUACGCGCUGGUACCCGAAAGAUGGUGAACUAUGCCUGAGCAGGAUGAAGCCAGAGGAAACUCUGGUGGAGGUCCGAAGCGCUUCUGACGUGCAAAUCGAUCGUCUGACUUGGGUAUAGGGGCGAAAGACUAAUCGAACCAUC